AAUCAACGCUGGCGGCGUGCCUCAGACAUGCAAGUCGAACGAUUAAACUUUCCUUCGGGAAAGAUAUAAAGUGGCGCACGGGUGAGUAACACGUAGGUAAUGUACCUUUGGGUGGGGAAUAACUUAGGGAAACUUAAGCUAAUACCGCAUAAUGCAGCGGCUCCUUCGGGAGACAGUUGUUAAAGAUUUAUCGCCUAAAGAGCAGCCUGCGGCAGAUUAGCUAGUUGGUAAGGUAACGGCUUACCAAGGCGACGAUCUGUAUCCGACCUGAGAGGGUGGUCGGACACACUGACACUGAAUAACGGGUCAGACUCCUACGGGAGGCAGCAGUCGGGAAUUUUGGGCAAUGGGCGAAAGCCUGACCCAGCAACGCCGCGUGAA
This 381-nucleotide ribosomal RNA is filed under the name uncultured bacterium. RNAcentral's name for it is "bacterial SSU rRNA". It matches the Rfam family "Bacterial small subunit ribosomal RNA", at positions 32 to 405 of the family's 1533-position model. The record is from RNAcentral.